This 781-nucleotide long non-coding RNA is filed under the name Actinidia chinensis (golden kiwifruit). RNAcentral's name for it is "long non-coding RNA (ACHI_LNC001658)". The record is from RNAcentral. Lineage: Eukaryota; Viridiplantae; Streptophyta; Magnoliopsida; Ericales; Actinidiaceae.
AACAAAAUUUUGGAAAAUUCUAAUUGGAGAUAGAUUAAGCAUACAAAUAGAAGCACUAGAAAUAUGUGAUGUGGGAAAAUUCCGUCGUCCUGGUAUGUCACAUGUAAAAAUCAAGAUUUCCAUAAUCUCUUUACUGAGAUCUUUAUUCGAGUCAUUCCCCAAAGCUUCAAUGCCCGAGGAAAAGCAUUGCAAAAUAAAAUAGAAAGAACAGAUGGCAAAAUGUUGUGGUACAUAUCGUCCAUAUGAUAAUUGAGAUUUUGUGGUGGUAGUUAUGAAUUCUUGUGAUUUAGUUAUGAAGGUGGUGUGUAUCAUAAACAGAAGUGGUGUUAUGGGGUUUUCUGGUUGGUUACGAACUAGUGGUGUAUUUGUUAUCAAUAUUUGUGGUAUAAUUUUGUUAUGAAAUUUUGUGGCAUUUUUGUUAUGACUAUUUGUUGUGUUAAUGAGAAAUUAUUGUAGCUAGUGAUUAAAGAGCAUAUGAUGGGCACCAAAACAAGGGGUGUUUUUACUGUAGGACUUCCCCGUAUAGAGGAUACAAUGAGGGUAUUUGGUACAGCCAAAUACCUAAAUUUAUGUUAAAAAUGAUUAUUUAAAAGCAAAAGUUGAAAAACAUCAAAAUGGAGCUUUCAAAAAUUAACUUUUUUUUCCAGCUUUAAAAUUGUUUCUGACCCAUAAGCAGAAGUUGUGCCAAACAUUCUAGCACAACUUCUAAUACAGAAAAAAGCGAAAGUUGAUGCUAUAUAAGCUGCACCAAAUAUGCACAAUAACCGUCUAAAGAAAUUGC